CAGCAGCCGCGGGAAUACGUAGGGUCCGAGCGUUGUCCGGAAUUAUUGGGCGUAAAGGGCUCGUAGGCGGUUUGUUGCGUCGGGAGUGAAAACCCAGGGCUUAACUUUGGGCUUGCUUUCGAUACGGGCAGACUUGAGGCAUUGAGGGGAGAACGGAAUUCCUGGUGUAGCGGUGAAAUGCGCAGAUAUCAGGAGGAACACCGGUGGCGAAGGCGGUUCUCUGGCAAUGUUCUGACGCUGAGGAGCGAAAGUGUGGGGAGCGAACAGGAUUAGAUACCCCUGUAGUCCCUGUCUCUUAUAC
This 301-nucleotide ribosomal RNA is filed under the name uncultured bacterium. RNAcentral's name for it is "partial 16S ribosomal RNA". It matches the Rfam family "Bacterial small subunit ribosomal RNA", at positions 509 to 807 of the family's 1533-position model. The record is from RNAcentral.